This is a long non-coding RNA of Boleophthalmus pectinirostris (great blue-spotted mudskipper), 480 nucleotides long. RefSeq lists it as uncharacterized. The record is from RefSeq and is a predicted model, not a curated record. The transcript has 2 exons. Lineage: Eukaryota; Metazoa; Chordata; Actinopteri; Gobiiformes; Gobiidae.
UCAUUGAGUUUUUUAAUCAAGAACAUGUCACACAUGUGGAUACCAAAUGUAUAUCUGUGACAAAUAAAACCUUAUUUUUACAUACACAUUUUCCAGGGGGCGCUAUUGCAGCCAUUUUUGUAUUUUCGUACAUCAGUCUGUUCAGGGUUGAGGUGUGAACUCAUGAUUCAAAUUUGAGUGAAAUCGGCCAAAGUUUGUGCAAAUUAUCACUGGUUGAAGUUUGAUGGUGAGUCCCAUGUCACGCCCCUGCCUGUGACCUGAGUCUUCCUUGUGUGGACGUGGGCGGAGUCUGCUGGGAGCACCUGCUCUCCAUCUGCAAUCAAGCCUGCUACAAAGACCCAGCUCUCCUGCCAGACUCUGCCAGAUUGUUUCGUCUACCUGAUGUUCCCGCUGUGGAAGACUCCGGCAUUCCAGCUCCUGGCUCCUCGCUCCUCCACUGCCUAUCCUGCCUCGUCAAUAAACCUUUGUUUCUUUUUUGCA